GUCGAACGAGAGGCCGUAGCAAUACGGUCGUACAGUGGCGAACGGGUGAGGAAGACGUGGGUAACCUACCCUCGAGUGGGGAAUAACCCGCCGAAAGGCGGGCUAAUACCGCGUACGCUUCUGUUCCUUCGGGGACGGAAGGAAAGCUGUGCCGUGGGCAUGGCGCUCAAGGAUGGGCUCACGCCCUAUCAGCUUGUUGGUAGGGUAACGGCCUACCAAGGCAACGACGGGUAGCUGGUCUGAGAGGACGAUCAGCCACACUGGCACUGCGACACGGGCCAGACUCCUACGGGAGGCAGCAGUGAGGAAUAUUGCGCAAUGGGCGAAAGCCUGACGCAGCGACGCCGCGUGGGGGAUGAAGGUCUUCGGAUUGUAAACCCCUUUCAGGAGGGAAGAUGGAACGGGCAACCGUUCGGACGGUACCUCCAGAAGCAGCCACGGCUAACUUCGUGCCAGCAGCCGCGGUAAUACGAAGGUGGCAAGCGUUGUUCGGAUUUACUGGGCGUAAAGGGAGCGUAGGCGGUUAGGUAAGCCCUUUGGGAAAGCUCCCGGCUUAACCGGGAAAGGUCGAAGGGGACUGCCUGGCUAGAGGGUGGGAGAGG
RNAcentral lists this ribosomal RNA (602 nucleotides) under uncultured bacterium. Its description in RNAcentral is "bacterial SSU rRNA". It matches the Rfam family "Bacterial small subunit ribosomal RNA", at positions 61 to 657 of the family's 1533-position model. The record is from RNAcentral.